UACGGAGGAUGCGAGCGUUAUCCGGAUUUAUUGGGUUUAAAGGGUGCGUAGGCGGGCUUUUAAGUCAGCGGUAAAGAUUCGGGGCUCAACCCCGUCCGGCCGUUGAAACUGGGGGCCUUGAGUGGGCGAGAAGAAGGCGGAAUGCGUGGUGUAGCGGUGAAAUGCAUAGAUAUCACGCAGAACCCCGAUUGCGAAGGCAGCCUUCCGGCGCCCUACUGACGCUGAGGCACGAAAGUGCGGGGAUCGAACAGG
RNAcentral lists this ribosomal RNA (252 nucleotides) under uncultured bacterium. RNAcentral describes it as "partial 16S ribosomal RNA". It matches the Rfam family "Bacterial small subunit ribosomal RNA", at positions 524 to 776 of the family's 1533-position model. The record is from RNAcentral.